GAGUUCCCACCCCAGCCACGUGCGGCUUCUGUGAUGACAGGUCUAGAGGGGCGGGGCUUUGGUCAGCCGGCUGCAAGCCCUAGCUGACUCGACCCAGACGCGGGUGGGGACCCGGAACCCGGGACAAAGCGCAAGCCUGAGGGCUCCGAGACCUGCUAGGACUCUCUCGAGCUUUCUUACUGGCGUGAGCAGCAUGCGAAAUUUGAAACUUUUUGUAGGGAUGUCUGGGUUAGCAAGUGCGUUUCCCCGAAUGGGAUAGGUCAGUGUGCAUGGUAGUGUAAGAAAUUUCCGGGGUCUGUGAAAAUAGGGGAAUCGGUGGUGGAGUUUCAGGCUUCUGAAGCCUGCGAUGUGCGGGCAGACCUAGUUUCUGGCAGGCGAGCUAAGGGUCAGAUCUUUAUCUGUUGAGGUAAAGGAGAUCUGUGGGUUUUACAAGUAUAAGUAUUAAUUCGGGGUUAUGGGGGUCUGAAAUUGCUGGAGAAAGUGGGUUUUCCCCCUUGUACAGGUGUUGAGUGAAGUUUGUGACUAUUACAGAUGUUCUGAAGUUUAAUUAAUCCUUAAGUCCUCUUCUCGCCUACCUACCCCGAGAUUUAUAGCAAGGUAGCAAGAUGCUUCCCAGAUACCGAUAGAUGGCAGCACAGGACUCUUGCAAAACAGCCUAGACAGCAGAUUUGGGGCUUCUUGAAGGAGCCAACCCGGGAAGAGGGUCGGGAUCCAACCUACUCAAGUUCUGAGGUUCUGAAAGUCUGAGAUUCUUUUGGUUCUGUGACUUUUUAUGAGUAUUUAACUUAAACUGCUGGUCUAAGCGUCAAUAGUGUGCCAGGCGCAAAAAAGAAAGAAAAAGGCAUUUCCCUGCCCUUAAGGAAUUUUUUGUUUAGACAGAACGGAUCUAUAGAUAAAGCUGGAAGGGUUUUAUAUGUGAAAAAAGCAUAGGGUUUGAAAUCACCUGUGUUGCUUUCCGAACUUUGGGUAUUUGCUUGUGGGUAGAUUAAUUUUUUUUAAUAAACUCUAAAUUUUAGAACAAUUUUAGAUUUACAGAAAAUUUAUGAAGAUAGCAUAGAGUUUCCAUAUACACUACAAUUCAAUUUCCCCUAUUAUAGGUUCAUUUGUCAUAAUUAAUGAACCAAGCCAGGGCGGUUGUGCACUACUCUAAUAACAGUGACUCUGGAGGCUGGAGGCAAAAGGAUCACAAGUUCUAUGGAAGCCUGAAUAACUUUAGUGAGCCCCUCAGCAACUGUUAUGGUUUGGAUAUUAGGGGUCUCCCCGGAAGCUCAGUAUUAAUGCAGGAAUGUUCUUAGGUGAAAUGACUGAAUUGUGAGAGUUGUAACCUUUUCAGUUCAUCCCAGUUUGAAUAGAUCAACUGGGGUUCUAACUGUAGCCAGGUGGAGGAGGUGGGUUGUUGGUAGCAUGUGGUAGAAGGGUUCAUCUUCCUUGCAGUGCCUUCUCUGCUUCCUGGCCAUCAUGAAUAGAGCAGUGCUCCACCAUUAAGCCCUUCUGCCUCAUCUUGGGCCUAGAGCCAGUGAGGUAGUCAAGGACACGAACUGACCCUCUGAAACUAACUGGGACCUUCUCAGAAACUGAGGCAGUGCAAAGGCCCCCCACUUCAACCUGUAAUGCUUUGGAUCAAAUCAGAAAGAUUUCAAACAUGUUGCUCAGAGGUCUUGCUAAAUUGCUGAAGCUGAUCUUGAACUUUAAUCCUCCUGCCUCAUCCUAUUG
Molecule: non-coding RNA, 1713 nt
Organism: Ictidomys tridecemlineatus (thirteen-lined ground squirrel)
Lineage: Eukaryota; Metazoa; Chordata; Mammalia; Rodentia; Sciuridae
Source: RefSeq, a predicted model, not a curated record